ACUUGUCAGUGGUGGCUAAAUAGUAACUCCCAAUUAACAUAGCAACAAACGGUCACUUCCAGCUUAUCAGCCAUGGCUGUUACUCUCUCCUCAGUCUCAGCCUGCGCGUGUCUGCUUCGUUCACCGCGCAAGGCUGUGUCCCAGUUUUCACCACAAAUCUUCAAAUUGGGUUCCACUCCUCUGCUUCCGCGGACCACUUUACGGCCCAGAAAGCUUGUCGUUCGAGCUGCCAGAACCGAGUCCAGAGGAGUAUCUCUCGGCUUCAGACCUCCCAAUUUUGAGCUUCCAGAGCCACUUACCGGGAAAGUUUGGAAAUUGGAGGAUUUUGAAUCCCAUCCUGCUUUACUGGUUAUGUUUAUCUGCAACCACUGCCCAUUUGUUAUACACCUGAAAAAUGCUAUUGUGAAACUUACGAAUUUUUAUAUGAAGAAAGGACUUGCAGUUGUUGCGAUAUCUUCAAAUUCUGUAAUAACGCACCCACAGGAUGGACCAGAAUUUAUGUCAGAAGAAGCUAAACUUUUCAAGUAUCCUUUCCCAUAUCUAUAUGAUGAGUCACAGGAUGUUGCUCGAGAAUUUGGAGCAGUUUGCACACCAGAGUUUUUCCUGUUUAAAAAGGAUGGACGCAGGCCUUUCGAAUUGGUGUACCAUGGCCAGUUUGAUGAUUCGAGACCUAGUAAAAAUGUGCCUGUAACUGGAAGGGACUUGAGCCUGGCAAUAGAUUGUGCUCUCAGUUGCCAACCAGUAUCAUCAGCUCAGAAACCCAGCAUUGGAUGCAGCAUAAAGUGGCACCCUGAGAGAUAACAAGAUUAUAAUCUUUCCUUCCUGUCCUGUUUCAUUUCUUUGGAUCCUUAAAGCCACAAAAAGCCAGGAAAAAUGGUAUCUCCAUCCUUAGUCCCUUGUUCAGUGGGAGUGGUUUUUAAUUAUAGUCUGUUAAUUAUACAGGACGUACACCAACAAGCAGGAAAUUCCUCUUCUCUAUGUUCACCAUUCUGUGAUCUUAAAAUACCCAAACAAACAUACCUCUUGGCUUCAUACAUAAAUUCAUGUAUAUGUAUUUGCACCAACACAUUCAAGCUCAUGGACAUGGGCCUAAAGGAGAACUCUUUGUGGUAUGUAUUCUCUUCUGCUAUGAGGCUGUAGGACUUUUUGCCUCUAUUGAUUUGUAAGGCUGUAUAUAUGAUAUUGAGAGAAUAAGUUUAGAGACAUUUUUCACUUUAACAGUCGAAAAGGACACACUAUUUUUCAUUUGUCA
Rosa chinensis is the source of this 1252-nucleotide RNA transcript. RefSeq lists it as uncharacterized. The record is from RefSeq and is a predicted model, not a curated record. The transcript has 11 exons. NCBI's taxonomy places the organism in Eukaryota, Viridiplantae, Streptophyta, Magnoliopsida, Rosales, Rosaceae.